This 344-nucleotide unclassified non-coding RNA is filed under the name soil metagenome. Its description in RNAcentral is "partial contains 5.8S ribosomal RNA, internal transcribed spacer 2, and large subunit ribosomal RNA". The stretch from base 1 to 119 matches the Rfam family "5.8S ribosomal RNA", at positions 35 to 154 of the family's 154-position model. The record is from RNAcentral.
GAUGAAGAACGCAGCGAAAUGCGAUACGUAAUGUGAAUUGCAAAUUCAGUGAAUCAUCGAGUCUUUGAACGCACAUUGCGCCCCCUGGUAUUCCGGGGGGCAUGCCUGUCCGAGCGUCAUUGCUGCCCUCAAGCACGGCUUGUGUGUUGGGCCCCGUCCUCCGAUCCCGGGGGACGGGCCCGAAAGGCAGCGGCGGCACCGCGUCCGGUCCUCGAGCGUAUGGGGCUUUGUCACCCGCUCUGUAGGCCCGGCCGGCGCUUGCCGAUCAACCCAAAUUUUAUCCAGGUUGACCUCGGAUCAGGUAGGGAUACCCGCUGAACUUAAGCAUAUCAAUAAGCGGAGGA